Lactuca sativa (garden lettuce) is the source of this 940-nucleotide long non-coding RNA. RefSeq lists it as uncharacterized. The record is from RefSeq and is a predicted model, not a curated record. Lineage: Eukaryota; Viridiplantae; Streptophyta; Magnoliopsida; Asterales; Asteraceae.
ACCGGUUCAAUUUGACUUGGCGCGCCUAAUAUCUCGACUCUUCCCCAUUUUAAACUGAAAUCAGACGAUCUCAUGUUUCCAUUCCACGAAUCCUCUCUAUAAAAUCGUGCCACACCACCAUUCCCUAACGCCAUUGUCUCUCACUUUUUCCAUUUUUGACGUUCUCUUUGAAAACCCUAGAUUCAUAAUGUACACCCAAACAUACCAACAAUCUCCAUCAACGUCUGAAGCUCUAACAUCACUGACUGCCUUGUAGAGUCGGAUACGACCACAAAUCGCUGAUGUCCAGUUUUUACCCUGCAGGUUGCUGUUAUGUUGUUCCAGAUACUAAUUUUGAUAUAAAUGCCGGUGUAUUUUAGUCCUCACCACCAAGUUAUGUCUAUCUUUUUCCAUUUUGUAAUCACAGACUCACACACUUUAGGAUUUUAAUAUCAAUGGUUGCAUGUUGAUCCUGAACCAUUUUCCUUGAAAAAAGUUUUCUAAUUGGGGUUUUUAUCUCAUUUUUAGGGAUGUGGAAAAAACCAAUGUAAAGGUUGUUAAUGGAAAUGACAGUGGUUCAGGAAGUUGAAAAGGGACUACUAUGAUAUGGGAUUCUUCUUCAGGCUUAAAAGGGAAUAGUUUAUAUUAAUAACCCGAGUUGUAGCAAACAUGUUGUUGGAGACAAGGCUGCCAAAGAGAAGUCAAAGGGGUUGGAGGUGCAACUCACUUAAUUCAUAGGGAGGGUACUCAUGGUUGCCUUUAGUAGUCAAAUAUUUUGUAGUCUUUUUAAAAAAAAAAUUGUAAAGGUUAGCUCGUUAGCUUUUGUUUGUUCUAUUUACAAUAUGUUAAGUAAGUUUUGUAAUAUGUUUACGCUCUCAAAUGUCGUAAAGUUUUUCCAUAUUUUGCAUGCUUUUUACCUUCAAAUGAUGUAAAUAUGAUAUUGGUUAGUCUUUGUUGUGAA